RNAcentral lists this ribosomal RNA (253 nucleotides) under uncultured bacterium. RNAcentral describes it as "partial 16S ribosomal RNA". It matches the Rfam family "Bacterial small subunit ribosomal RNA", at positions 524 to 776 of the family's 1533-position model. The record is from RNAcentral.
UACGUAGGUGGCAAGCGUUGUCCGGAAUUAUUGGGCGUAAAGCGCGCGCAGGCGGUCCUUUAAGUCUGAUGUGAAAGCCCCGGGCUCAACCUGGGAAUGGCAUUGGAAACUGGUCAGCUGGAGUGUGGCAGAGGGGGGUGGAAUUCCGCGUGUAGCAGUGAAAUGCGUAGAGAUGCGGAGGAACACCGAUGGCGAAGGCAGCCCCCUGGGCCAACACUGACGCUCAGGCACGAAAGCGUGGGGAGCAAACAGG